Non-coding RNA from Camelina sativa (false flax), 194 nucleotides. The record is from RefSeq and is a predicted model, not a curated record. Lineage: Eukaryota; Viridiplantae; Streptophyta; Magnoliopsida; Brassicales; Brassicaceae.
UCUAUUCUGGUGCCAUGGACAAUGUUAUAAAAGCAAGUUUGGAGCCUAGAUAAUCUGCAGUGUAUACAAACGCUUACAGAGCAUACUUCAGUUGUCAUGUCUCUCAUUUGCUGGGAUCAAUUUCUUCUGUCAUGUUCAUUGGACAACACUGUCAAGAUAUGGGCUGCUACUGAAGGUGGAAACUUAGAAGUGAC